RNAcentral lists this ribosomal RNA (465 nucleotides) under uncultured bacterium. RNAcentral describes it as "bacterial SSU rRNA". It matches the Rfam family "Bacterial small subunit ribosomal RNA", at positions 338 to 795 of the family's 1533-position model. The record is from RNAcentral.
CCUACGGGGGGCUGCAGUAGGGAAUCUUCCGCAAUGGACGAAAGUCUGACGGAGCAACGCCGCGUGAGCGAAGAAGGUCUUCGGAUCGUAACGCGCUGUUGUUAGGGAAGAACAAGUACGGGAGGAAAUGACCGUACCUUGACGGUACCUGACGAGGAAGCCACGGCUAACUACGUGCCAGCAGCCGCGGUAAUACGUAGGUGGCAAGCGUUGUCCGGAAUAAUUGGGCGUAAAGCGCGCGCAGGCGGUCUUUUAAGUCUGAUGUGAAAUCUUGCGGCUCAACCGCGAGCGGUCAUUGGAAACGGGGAGGCUUGAGUGCAGAAGAUGAAAGCUGAAUUUCUCGUGUAGCGGUGAAAUGCGUAGAGAUGUGGAGGAACACCAGUGGCGAAGUCGGCUUUCUGGUCUGUAACUGACGCUGAGGCGCUAAAGCGUGGGGAGCAAACAGGAUUAGAUACCCUGGUAGUC